GAUGAACGCUGGCGGCGUGCUUAACACAUGCAAGUCGAACGAUGAAGCCCAGCUUGCUGGGUGGAUUAGUGGCGAACGGGUGAGUAACACGUGAGUAACCUGCCCUUAACUCUGGGAUAAGCCUGGGAAACUGGGUCUAAUACCGGAUAGGAGCGUCCACCGCAUGGUGGGUGUUGGAAAGAUUUAUCGGUUUUGGAUGGACUCGCGGCCUAUCAGCUUGUUGGUGAGUUAAUGGCUCACCAAGGCGACGACGGGUAGCCGGCCUGAGAGGGUGACCGGCCACACUGGGACUGAGACACGGCCCAGACUCCUACGGGAGGCAGCAGUGGGGAAUAUUGCACAAUGGGCGAAAGCCUGAUGCAGCGACGCCGCGUGAGGGAUGACGGCCUUCGGGUUGUAAACCUCUUUCAGUAGGGAAGAAGCGAAAGUGACGGUACCUGCAGAAGAAGCACCGGCUAACUACGUG
Molecule: ribosomal RNA, 466 nt
Filed under: uncultured bacterium
Lineage: Bacteria
Description: partial 16S ribosomal RNA
Rfam family: Bacterial small subunit ribosomal RNA
Source: RNAcentral